RNAcentral lists this ribosomal RNA (530 nucleotides) under Tatocnemis denticularis. RNAcentral's name for it is "partial 16S ribosomal RNA". It matches the Rfam family "Bacterial large subunit ribosomal RNA", at positions 1819 to 2619 of the family's 2925-position model. Lineage: Eukaryota; Metazoa; Arthropoda; Insecta; Odonata; Megapodagrionidae. The record is from RNAcentral.
GUCUUCCUGAUUUAUUUAGGAGGUCUGACCUGCCCAGUGAAAGCUUUAACGGCCGCGGUAUUUUGACCGUGCAAAGGUAGCAUAAUCAUUAGUCUUUUAAUAGGAGGCUGGAAUGAAAGGUUUGACGAAGUGUUAGCUGUCUCAUAUUUAAUAAUUAUAAUUUAACUUUUUAGUUAAAAGGCUUAAAUUUUGUUGGAAGACGAGAAGACCCUAUAGAGCUUUAAUUUUAAAUUUUUAAUUGGUGUAGUUUUAUAAUUAUCUUUUAUUCAUUUAAUUUUUUUGUUGGGGUGACAAGAGAUAUAUGAACAACUUUUAUAUUUAUAUUCCAUUUAUUUAUGUUUGUUAGAUCCAUUAUUAUUGAUUAUUAGAAUAAGUUACCUUAGGGAUAACAGCGUAAUCUUCUUUCAGAGUUCAAAUUUACAAGAAGGCUUGCGACCUCGAUGUUGGAUUAAGAUAAUAGUUAGGGGCAGUUUCUUAGCUAAUAGGUCUGUUCGACCUUUAAAUUCUUACAUGAUCUGAGUUCAGACCGG